Long non-coding RNA from Raphanus sativus (radish), 801 nucleotides. RefSeq lists it as uncharacterized. The transcript has 3 exons. NCBI's taxonomy places the organism in Eukaryota, Viridiplantae, Streptophyta, Magnoliopsida, Brassicales, Brassicaceae. The record is from RefSeq and is a predicted model, not a curated record.
GAAAAAGUGAGAAUCAAAUAGAUUUUCACAGCUGAAAUAUUAUCAGGUUCAUGAUUGAAGAUGAAACUCGUGGGUUUUGUAGAUCCAGAAGGAUCAGUAUAUCUCGCAUUUGCUUCGUGUCCAGUUAUAGUUUUUGUUUACUCAAUGAAGAUGGUUGAUCAACAAGAGUGUUAGUAGGCUAUAUGUUGCAUGCAUGAUCUUAAACGUUUCUUGCUCCACUGAGAUGAUUUACCAGUGUGAGAUAGGAUCAGUUUCGUUCUUUUUGUUUCUGGACUAUGUUUAUGAACUGAAGGAUUCUAAUAAGCUUAACCUAUGUUCUUUGCUGCAGUACAUAAGGUUCAGAAAAGAAUGAAUAUGAGAACAUGGGAGAUAUGUUUUUUUCCAAAAUUUGUUGAUUCCUCUGCGGGCUCUUGAAUGUGGUCUUUUUUUCUUUCUCAUUUGGCUCCGGUGACCAGCCAUAUAGGUAAGCAUAUUUAAUCUAAACAGUUGUGAUAUAUCUAGGAUCUCUAUACUCGUACCAUCUUGUCUAUGUUGGCCUUGCUCGUAUAUUUUAUUUUCAGAUUAGUUUCAACGUCUGUAACAAUUGCGAUCAAUCAGAGGAACGAGAGUGGAAGGUCCCCCAGGAGUUCAAGAUGUUUCCUCUGAGAUCUGCUUCAAUGGGUGGUGGCGCAGCUAUAGGAGGAGGAGGAGGAGGGGAGAAGGAAAAGCCACAGUAAUAAUUUCAGAAGUCUUUAGAGUAUAUAUACAAUUCUGCCCUUAAAAUACAGCUUUGCCGCAUAAAAAGGACUCCUUGCUUCGGAC